AUUGAACGCUGGCGGCAUGCUUUACACAUGCAAGUCGAACGGCAGCACGGACUUCGGUCUGGUGGCGAGUGGCGAACGGGUGAGUAAUACAUCGGAACGUACCCAGUAAUGGGGGAUAACUAUCCGAAAGGAUAGCUAAUACCGCAUACGCCCUACGGGGGAAAGAGGGGGAUCGCAAGACCUCUUGUUAUUGGAGCGGCCGAUGGCUGAUUAGCUAGUUGGUAGGGUAAAGGCCAACCAAGGCAACGAGCAGUAGCGGGUCGUAGAGGACGAUCCGCCACACUGGAACUGAGACACGGUCCAGACUCCUACGGGAGGCAGCAGUGGGGAAUCUUGGACAAUGGGCGCAAGCCUGAUCCAGCAAUGCCGCGUGCGUGAAGAAGGCCUUCGGGUUGUAAAGCGCUUUUGUCAGGGAGCAAAUCCUUGUGGCUAAUACCCACCGGGGAUGAGAGUACCUGAAGAAUAAGGACCGGCUAACUACGUGCCAGCCGCCGCGGUAA
RNAcentral lists this ribosomal RNA (500 nucleotides) under uncultured bacterium. RNAcentral's name for it is "partial 16S ribosomal RNA". It matches the Rfam family "Bacterial small subunit ribosomal RNA", at positions 30 to 523 of the family's 1533-position model. The record is from RNAcentral.